CUCUUUUAUAUAUAUUUAAAACACACAGUAAGAACAUAAGAACAUCUCAAAUCAUUUAAAAGGUUAGAGGGGUCAUCAACCAAAAUCUUUGGAAAUUUCAUAAAAUUUAAAUAUCUGCAAACAAUACAACCAAUAAGAAGGGGGGGGGAGGAUUCCCAACAUUUGGCUAUGGAGGGCACUUUACAUGUGAACCAAAUGGUAUUACAGCAUUUUCUUUCGGAUAACUAGUUACUACACCCCAUAAGAAAGAAUACAAGAGCAAUAUCGGAGACAUCCCCCGAUCCCACACACCCAUUACAUUGCAUUAAGAGAUCCUCUGCUGUGGGCCACAUCACAUCUCUACAGCGCAAUGCCAAGCAGCCUUCAAAUUCUGUAAAGUAGGCUGGCGUCCAUUCUACAAAAAUAUUAACUUACAGUACAUAACACUGCAUAAUUUUAAUCUGUACAGUUUUUCCCCUCCCAUUGGUGACACACAUCAGUUUGUACAAGCUAGAAAAAAAAAUGACACUCAUCUGGUUGUUUACAUCUGGGAUAAUAGUCAACAGAGUCAACCAGAAUUUGGUGUGAUGGGGAUAGUCUACGAGAGUAUCAAUACAGUAUAAUAGAACCGCAAAUAACAAUAGGCAGCUCUUAACAAGUGAUACAAAAUAAAACUGUCCUGGAGUCUUAUUUUUAUUUAUUUAUUUUGACUGAAAAGGUAUAGCUGAGAAUGUUCUGCCAAAGAGCCGACCAGCUGAUCCAGAAGGUAAAAGUUGCUGAGAGUCGGCAACCUGCUGCACAGCACAACCCAAAACACCGGUGCAGUUCAGGGCUCAUCAAGUGCUUCAGUGUAACUCGUGCAUUAAUCACAUUCCUUCAAUUAGUUAAUCCUCUAGUCAGCUUUCUUUGUGUUUUGCAUGCAUCCUGUUCCAUUUUCAUUAAGGGUAUCUCCUCUUGAGGAACCGUGAGCUUUGCUUUUCAAUUUGUUUUUGUGAUUCUUUUUGAAUGUUUUGUUUCACUGUCAAUACCGCCAACACUCAGAACAAAUGAACAGUAGCUGUGGUGUUACAGAACAGGGCUGUGUGCACAAUGCGGAAUGAAAUGAAACGAGUGUCAGAGACAGUUUAUAAAAAUGGCACAUUUAUUGCUACAGAACGGUCAUGUACAUGACUUCAUCGAAUAACUACAGAUGGGAACAGGUAAUGGUCUAGACCAAGCUGGGUUGUUUGCCUCUUGAAGGAAGUCCAGCAUACAACCUGUUUGGACAUUUCUACAAAUCAGAAACACACCAAAAACAUGAAAAAUCGAGGCACUCAGCCACACAUUGAAAACAAGGUGUAACUGUUUAUCUUUUUUUUGAAAUGUUUUCCCUUUUUUUUUCUUUUUUUUAACAAUUUUUUUAAAGUUUUUAAUGCUGCAGCUAUGUGUACAGUCGCAAAACAAAAACAAAAACAAAAACAAAAAAAGUUUGCACUGCAACCUACAACUAAAAACGAAAACAAAAACCAACCAAAGAAGCUACCAUACAGUUUCAUCUUGGUAACACAUGGCAAAAUAACAUCUUAUAAAUAGUAAAAUAAAGUAACAAACUUUUACUCAUAAUGAUUCCAAAAAUCUACAAAGAAGAAAUAUUCAGAAUCUGACAAUUUUUUUUGUAAUAUUCAUGGUAUAAAAGGAUUGCUCCUGCGAAAAAUAAGCCAAAUAUAUUUUUUAUUUUUAAAUUUAGUUUUUUUUCCUACUAGGGUGUACUACAGUCUAUUUUAUAGCAAAAAGAGCACUAGACAGACAAAGCUUUAUAACAAAAAGCCAGGCACUGAUACAUGGUAAAUCUCUGCUUUUUUUUUUUUUCUUAUCUUCACUUAAUUGCAUCACAAGUAACAAGAAUGAAAAAGGCCACAGUUCAUAUAUUUCACCAUUACAUAUGUCUAUAAUACUUGAAAUGAGCAUAUGGUAAAACCAGCACUGCACAGAGAUGAGUCACUUUCAAGUCCCAUGAGAAAGAACAUCUCGAAAGAAAACAAACAUAACCAAAGCAAACUCAAGAGGAGGCCUACAGGCCUUGGUGCCCCAUUGUCUUGGAAUUCAUCACAUUCCAUCUUCACCUUUUCAUUUAUUUAUUUAUUUAAAAUGUAUUUCCUUUUUGCUUCCAGUCAGUUGGCAGACUACAUUUUUGUGCUUGUGUAUGCUGAAUCAUUUCAUUCCUGACUUACGUUCCAUUUUGGACACAGAUCAUAUUCUGCCUGUUGGAUGCAAAGAUGAAAAAAAAUCCUCUUACCCCCCAAGUCUCAGUUCUACUCCCUCCCACUUCCCAACCCCUCAUCAAAACAAAGAUCACAAAUAAUAAUAAUAAUAAUAAAAUAAUAAUAAAAAUCAAGAGAUAGGAAAAAAAGUAGAAAAACAAAAGGGAACAAGGAAUCGGAAGACUGAGUCAGAAUGGGUUGUAGGACCAGGUGAACUGACAGUUGUAGAAGCAUUAGUGUUCCUCACAGCUACACAGAAGACAAAUGGUAAGAACUCCUAGAUGGACAGAUCCCUAAUUCUGCAUAUUCAUAAAUUACUCGAAUGUGGAGGUGGAUCAACUGCUCCAAGUUGCUUUCAAAGUCUGAGUCUCUUCAACUGAUUCCUAAAUCUAUGCUUUACCAUCAUCAUAUAUAUCUAGUGUAGUAUGGACCCUUAUGAAAUGUUCAUAUAGUAUUUUAAUCCUGUCUUCUGCUAAGUUUCUUUCAAAAAUCCAGUGCAGGAAUACCAAUAUCUUACCUGGGUUUGAUAACUACAAAAUAACAACAAGAAAAAAACAAACACAUUAAAAAGGCCACAUUCCCUUUCUUCUUCUUCCUUUUUUUUUUCUUUUAAACUGGAGAUACAACCCUCUUACUACAGAGAGGGUCAGAUCAUGUUUCUCCACCAAGCAGAAUGCAGCCAGCAGCUUCUGGUGGCCUUUAGGGAGUCUUUUGCUUAUUUCCAAAAGGAAUUUGACAAUAGCUGUAUUACAUUACCAAGUAAUGAAUACAUCAAAGGUGGUGAACGAGAAACUGCAGCUUUUCCUCUGUUUGACUGAGAACAAAAUAUAAAAGCACCAAUUGGAAAAAAAAUCAAAUGACUAUGUUUCAUUUUUAUUUCCUUUGUUUACAGAUUUGAAAAACUUUAAUUCCACUUUAGUAAGCACCUUUACGAUAACAUGUAUCAAAAGUGCCAUUCUGAAAAUGUACAUCAAUGCAGGGAGUAUUUCCAGUUCCCUAAAGAGUAAACACCAUAUUCUCUUCUAUACACUUAUCCUGAAUGUGAUCAGAGUAUACCUGCUUCCUAUAUAAUAAUAAUGUUCCUAGGGAUACCCGCCUUGGUAGACUAUACAAAAUGAGUGCAGAAUGUAUCACGAAAAGGAAAUCCUUAACAUGGUGAGAGAACAAGUACACAUGGUUUCCAUCAUUUAGGGAGGAGGGGAAGUGUACAUUAUUGUCUUCCAUGCCCUUCUCUAAGCCCCUUUGUUUGCACAUUUCACAGGAAAGCCCCCAAAGAACUUUUCAUGAAAUUUGAUUUCUGCUAUUCUCCUAUGUUUUCAAUCCACCUCCACAUUUUAGGAACUUAUCAACAAAUCAGAGCAUUUAGUUUUAUCGCUACUGAACAUAUUUACAGUUUUCAACACACAGACACACACACACACACACACACACACACACACACACACACACACAUACACAGCUAAUCAAAAUGUUUAUGGGUUUGUAAAAGGUGACCACGUGGUAACUAUCUUAUUUGUUCUUACAUUUUCAGAAAUGAACAUAUAUUUCAGAUUCUUGUAACUCACUAUUCAUUUAAAUGACUUUAAAAAAAACACACAGUUUAGAAAAAAAAACCUGAUACAAUGUAUUAAAACACAUAAUAACAAGAGUCUACAUGUAAAAAUAUAACUUUUACAUACACAGUUUCAAAAUAAUGAUAGGUUUGCCAUUGGUUGCAUAAAAUUUACAAAUGUGUUUCAUCACUAUGUAACUGGUAAAACAGGACAACAGGUGAAGCGUUUAGACCAUUUCCAUGGAUUUAUGGCAUUUACUCAGUGCUGAUAGGUGGAAAAACUACUUCAACAGGGAUUUUUUUUUUCUUAAUACAUGCCAAGAUUGUGUGGCUGUAAAAAUAGAAACCAGUUAGAGACAAAAGGAUGCUGACAAAUGCUUAAGUAGGAGCACUACUUGUUUACUGCACUACACACCAAAGUCAACCAUUAGGAAGAUUUAGGAUGGGAAUUGGUUCAAUUGUGCCCAGAGUCAACGCUAGCUAUCUGAUGAGUUGCUGUGCCAUAGUUUGACGUAUGUUUCUAUCAAAUGUUAAGUAUAAACUUCAUUCAUACUGGCCAGAGAAUACUGUUCUACCCCUCCUCAUGAAAGUGCAACUUAAUGCUUUAGGACUUAUAAGGCUUGUUAUAAUGCUGCAUGAUUAGUUGGCAUUUUUCACACAAAGGAGGAGGCAGGUAAGUCAUCUACUUUUUAGUAAACCCAUUUUUGAAAAAAAAAGAAAGAAAAGAAAGAAAAGAAAAUCAAUCAGCUCGGUCACACUACUUGCAAUUUUCUCAUUUGACGGUUUUUGAACUUGACUCUUUUUUUUUUUUAAGUUUUUGUAUUUUUUCCAAAAAUCUGACCAUGUAUUCAGAAACGCCUCACUGCACACUACUUCGGCUACACAGGUAGGUAACACUUGAAUCGUUUUGUUAAAUCACAGCCACUUUGAUUAUGUUAUGUUUCCGAUGAUAUAAACAUUGGAAGGCACAGUGGUAACAUUGUAGCAUUCUAACCGUGUACCUCUGAAAAUCCCAGGAGAGGGUCGCAAGGGCAGCGCCACAAGCCAGACAAACUCUUUUUGCCUUGCCUGGGCAAUGCUGCAUGUAAUUUCUACACAUGAUGUGAUUUUUUUUUUUAAGUCCUGUGUUCCCAAAAGACUGGAGAAACAACUUUCUACUAUUUAUGAAUGAGAAGCAACAACAGGGUCAGCCUUUCAUCCUGCACUGCCCCUCCGGUAGCAGAGUUGGCACUACAGGUUACGAUAACAAACUGGGGGAAAGGACAAAAAUCAGACAAAAAAAAAAUCCAUAUUUACAGUAAAAUCUUUCUUUUAAAAAAGUUAAUCAGUACUAUUUUUGUACAGGAGAAAAAAGUCUGAAACAAAUGAACAAAAGCUUACCAUAGUCACUAAAUUUUUAAUAUAUAUUUAUAUAUAUAUUUAUAUAUAUAUUUGUCAUAGGUCUAUAACAUCCAUCUGUCCCUCCUACCCUAAGGAAUGGCUAAUGUCAUCAUUUCGUUGCCAUCAGGACGUUUGCUGGUUUUGUUAUGAGGGUAGCCGGGCUUCCCCUAUUCAAUAUCCGGUAAUUAGAAACACUAGCUGACUUGAAUGCCAACAAAAACGUUCAUGUCGUUUUCUUCAGAAGUACACUUUUUCAUUAUUGCAAGUUUACAAUUUUUUUUAAAUUAAAUAUUUUUUUCAGACUUACAAAUUAAUUAUAUUUUUUUUUCCAAAAGAAGUUUAGGCACAAAUGCAUUGCUCCACAGUGUGGAAGGAUUGCCAUUCAGUCUCUGGGCUGUGUCUCAGCCUGUACAUACCGCUUCGCACAUUCAGAAUGAUAUGUUAAAGAAGUCGUCCCUCAAGUUGCACAUUUUUUCUUUCUUUCUUUCCUUUUUGUUUUUCUGCUUUUUGAUAAUUGGGAAUGCUGAAACCUCUUGCGUCUGCGAUUCAUAACUACUCAGACUUGUCUUAUAUUACAAAAAGGGGGUUAAGGAGCAGUGUUUAUGUGGGUUUAGGACAAUACAGCUGUUAAGGAAGUGGUCUCUUGUUUUAAUGAAGCAAGGUGGCAACUUGGACCUGAGGAAAGAAAAGGAGAAAAAAGUAAUUAAAACAGUGAUUGAAAAUGAUUUAAAAAAAUUUUAAGCCCUCAUUUUCAAGAAAGAACAGUAUUGGCUAAUCUGGGUAAUACCAG
This 5941-nucleotide long non-coding RNA is filed under the name Cricetulus griseus (Chinese hamster). Its description in RNAcentral is "lncRNA (ENSCGRG00015035471.1)". Lineage: Eukaryota; Metazoa; Chordata; Mammalia; Rodentia; Cricetidae. The record is from RNAcentral.